RNAcentral lists this ribosomal RNA (910 nucleotides) under uncultured archaeon. Its description in RNAcentral is "bacterial SSU rRNA". It matches the Rfam family "Archaeal small subunit ribosomal RNA", at positions 1 to 922 of the family's 1478-position model. The record is from RNAcentral.
UUCCGGUUGAUCCUGCCGGACCUGACUGCUAUCGGAUUGAUACUAAGCCAUGCGAGUCAUUGUAGCAAUACAAGGCAGACGGCUCAGUAACGCGUAGUCAACCUACCCUAUGGACGGGGAUAACCUCGGGAAACUGAGAAUAAUACCCGAUAGAACAUUAUACCUGGAAUGGUUUAUGUUUCAAAUAAUUUAUUGCCGUAGGAUGGGACUGCGGCCUAUCAGUUUGUUGGUGAGGUAAUGGCCCACCAAGACUAUUACAGGUACGGGCUCUGAGAGGAGUAGCCCGGAGAUGGGUACUGAGACACGGACCCAGGCCCUAUGGGGCGCAGCAGGCGAGAAAACUUUGCAAUGUGCGAAAGCACGACAAGGUUAAUCCGAGUGGUUUCUGCUAAAGGAACCUUUUGUCGGUCCUAGAAACACCGAUGAAUAAGGGGUGGGCAAGUUCUGGUGUCAGCCGCCGCGGUAAAACCAGCACCUCAAGUGGUCAGGAUGAUUAUUGGGCCUAAAGCAUCCGUAGCCGGCUCUGUUAGUUUUCGGUUAAAUCCGUACGCUCAACGUACAGGCUGCCGGGAAUACUGCAGAGCUAGGGAGUGGGAGAGGUAGACGGUACUCGGUAGGAGGGGGUAAAAUCCUUUGAUCUAUUGAUGACCACCUGUGGCGAAGGCGGUCUACCAGAACACGUCCGACGGUGAGGGAUGAAAGCUGGGGGAGCAAACCGGAUUAGAUACCCGGGUAGUCCCAGCUGUAAACUAUGCAAACUCAGUGAUGCAUUGGCUUGUGGCCAAUGCAGUGCUGCAGGAAGCCGUUAAGUUUGCCGCCUGGGAAGUACGUACGCAAGUAUGAACUUAAAGGAAUUGGCGGGGGAGCACCACAGGGUGAAGCCUGCGGUUCAAUUGGAUUCAACGCCGGA